Molecule: ribosomal RNA, 467 nt
Filed under: uncultured eukaryote
Lineage: Eukaryota
Description: SSU rRNA
Rfam family: Eukaryotic small subunit ribosomal RNA
Source: RNAcentral
GUAUAUUUAAGUUGUUGCAGUUAAAAAAGCUCGUAGUUGGAUUUUGGUUAAGAGGGCGCGGUCGGCCGUUGGUCUGUACUGCGUUGUCUUGACUUCCUGAUGAGGACAUGCUCUUGGUUAACGCUGAGACAUGGAGUCAUCGUGGUUACUUUGAAAAAAUUAGAGUGUUCAAGCGGGCUUACGCUUGAAUAUUAGCAUGGAAUAACACUAUAGGACUCCUGUCCUAUCUCGUUGGUCUCGGGAUGGGAGUAAUGAUUAAGAGGAACAGUUGGGGGCAUUCGUAUUUCAUUGUCAGAGGUGAAAUUCUUGGAUUUAUGAAAGACGAACUUCUGCGAAAGCAUUUGCCAAGGAUGUUUUCAUUAAUCAAGAACGCAAGUUGGGGGCUCGAAGAUAGUUAGAUACCAUCCUAGUCUCAACCAUAAACGAUGCCGACUAGGGAUUGGUGGGAUGUUAAUUGAUGACUUCAC